AUUGAACGCUGGCGGCAGGCCUAACACAUGCAAGUCGAGCGGCAGAAGGGGGUUUGCUCCUGGGUUCAGUGGCGGACGGGUGAGUAAUGCAUAGGAACGUGCCUGGUAGUGGGGGAUAACGCCCGGAAACGGGGGCUAAUACCGCAUACGACCUGAGGGAGAAAGUGGGGGAUCGUCGGACCUCACGCUAUCAGAUGAGCCUAGGUCGGAUUAGCUAGUUGGUGGGGUAAAGGCCUACCAAGGCGACGAUCCGUAACUGGUCUGAGAGGAUGAUCAGUCACACUGGAACUGAGACACGGUCCAGACUCCUACGGGAGGCAGCAGUGGGGAAUAUUGGACAAUGGGCGAAAGCCUGAUCCAGCCAUGCCGCGUGUGUGAAGAAGGUCUUCGGGUUGUAAAGCACUUUAGGUUGGGAGGAAGGGCAGUAAGUUAAUACCUUGCUGUUUUGACGUUACCGACAGAAUAAGCACCGGCUAACUUCGUG
Molecule: ribosomal RNA, 484 nt
Filed under: uncultured bacterium
Lineage: Bacteria
Description: partial 16S ribosomal RNA
Rfam family: Bacterial small subunit ribosomal RNA
Source: RNAcentral